RNAcentral lists this ribosomal RNA (253 nucleotides) under uncultured bacterium. Its description in RNAcentral is "partial 16S ribosomal RNA". It matches the Rfam family "Bacterial small subunit ribosomal RNA", at positions 524 to 776 of the family's 1533-position model. The record is from RNAcentral.
UACGUAGGGUGCGAGCGUUGUCCGGAAUUAUUGGGCGUAAAGAGCUUGUAGGCGGUUUGUCGCGUCUGCUGUGAAAAUCCGGGGCUCAACCCCGGACUUGCAGUGGGUACGGGCAGACUAGAGUGUGGUAGGGGAGACUGGAAUUCCUGGUGUAGCGGUGAAAUGCGCAGAUAUCAGGAAGAACACCCGUGGCUAAGGCGGCUCUCUAGUACGGUACUGACGCUGAGACGCGAAAGCGUGGGGAGCGAACAGG